Molecule: ribosomal RNA, 292 nt
Filed under: uncultured bacterium
Lineage: Bacteria
Description: partial 16S ribosomal RNA
Rfam family: Bacterial small subunit ribosomal RNA
Source: RNAcentral
GUGUCAGCAGCCGCGGUAAUACGUAGGUGGCAAGCGUUGUCCGGAUUUACUGGGCGUAAAGGGCGUGCAGGCGGUUUGUUUAGUCUAGGGUGAAAGCUCCCGGCUUAACUGGGAGAGGUCCUUGGAUACUGGCAAACUUGAGGGAGGCAGAGGAAAGUGGAAUUCCCGGUGUAGUGGUGAUAUGCGUAGAUAUCGGGAGGAACACCAGUGGCGAAGGCGGCUUUCUGGGCCUUACCUGACGCUGAGACGCGAAAGCGUGGGGAGCGAACCGGAUUAGAUACCCCCGUAGUCC